GCCUCCUUAGCUCAGCCGGCCAGAGCAGCUCACUUGUAAUGAGCAGGUCGUCGGUUCGAAUCCGACAGGGGGCUCCA
This 77-nucleotide transfer RNA is filed under the name Streptomyces sp. NPDC036915. RNAcentral's name for it is "tRNA-Thr". It matches the Rfam family "tRNA". Rfam says of the family: Transfer RNA (tRNA) molecules are approximately 80 nucleotides in length. The record is from RNAcentral. RNAcentral also lists the same sequence under 1 other name. Lineage: Bacteria; Bacillati; Actinomycetota; Actinomycetes; Kitasatosporales; Streptomycetaceae.